CGUGUAGGCGGCCAGGCAAGUUGGGUGUGAAAGCCCUCGGCUUAACCGAGGAAGUGCGCCCAAAACUACCUGGCUUGAGUACCGGAGAGGGUGGCGGAAUUCCCGGUGUAGAGGUGAAAUUCGUAGAUAUCGGGAGGAACACCAGUGGCGAAGGCGGCCACCUGGACGGAUACUGACGCUGAGACGCGAAAGCGUGGGGAGCAAACAGGAUUAGAUACCCUGGUAGUCCACGCUGUAAACGAUGAGCGCUAGGUGUUGUGGGUGUUGACCCCCGCAGUGCCGCAGCUAACGCAUUAAGCGCUCCGCCUGGGAAGUACGGCCGCAAGGCUAAA
This 332-nucleotide ribosomal RNA is filed under the name uncultured Anaeromyxobacter sp. Its description in RNAcentral is "bacterial SSU rRNA". It matches the Rfam family "Bacterial small subunit ribosomal RNA", at positions 568 to 898 of the family's 1533-position model. Lineage: Bacteria; Pseudomonadati; Myxococcota; Myxococcia; Myxococcales; Anaeromyxobacteraceae. The record is from RNAcentral.